This 253-nucleotide ribosomal RNA is filed under the name uncultured bacterium. RNAcentral's name for it is "partial 16S ribosomal RNA". It matches the Rfam family "Bacterial small subunit ribosomal RNA", at positions 524 to 776 of the family's 1533-position model. The record is from RNAcentral.
UACAGAGGUCUCAAGCGUUGUUCGGAUUCAUUGGGCGUAAAGGGUGCGUAGGUGGCGCCGUAAGUCGGGUGUGAAAUUUCGGAGCUUAACUCCGAAACUGCAUUCGAUACUGCGGUGCUUGAGGACUGGAGAGGAGACUGGAAUUUAUGGUGUAGCAGUGAAAUGCGUAGAGAUCAUAAGGAAGACCAGUGGCGAAGGCGAGUCUCUGGACAGCAACUGACGCUGAGGCACGAAGGCCAGGGGAGCAAACGGG